GUUCAGAACGUCGUGAGACAGUUCGGUCCCUAUCCGUCGUGGGCGUAGGAAAUUUGAGAGGAGCUGUCCUUAGUACGAGAGGACCGGGAUGGACAUACCUCUGGUGUACCAGUUGUCGUGCCAACGGCAUAGCUGGGUAGCUAUGUGUGGACGGGAUAAGUGCUGAAAGCAUCUAAGCAUGAAGCCCCCCUCAAGAUGAGAUUUCCCAACUUCGGUUAUAAGAUCCCUCAAAGAUGAUGAGGUUAAUAGGUUCGAGGUGGAAGCAUGGUGACAUGUGGAGCUGACGAAUACUA
Molecule: ribosomal RNA, 293 nt
Filed under: Staphylococcus aureus
Lineage: Bacteria; Bacillati; Bacillota; Bacilli; Caryophanales; Staphylococcaceae
Description: partial 23S ribosomal RNA
Rfam family: Bacterial large subunit ribosomal RNA
Source: RNAcentral